UACGUGGGGGGCAAGCGUUGUUCGGAAUUACUGGGCGUAAAGGGCUCGUAGGCGGCCAACUAAGUCGGAUGUGAAAUCCCCAGGCUUAACCUGGGAACUGCAUCCGAUACUGGAUGGCUUGAAUUCGGGAGAGGGAUGCAGAAUUCCAGGUGUAGCGGUGAAAUGCGUAGAUAUCUGGAGGAAUACCGGUGGCGAAGGCGGCAUCCUGGACCGAGAUUGACGCUGAUGAGCGAAAGCUAGGGGAGCAAACGGG
Molecule: ribosomal RNA, 253 nt
Filed under: uncultured bacterium
Lineage: Bacteria
Description: partial 16S ribosomal RNA
Rfam family: Bacterial small subunit ribosomal RNA
Source: RNAcentral